GGGGAUUUAGCUCAGCGAUAGAGAGCGCUUGCCUAGCAGGCACAAGGCCCUGGGUUCGAUCCCCAGCUCCG
Molecule: transfer RNA, 71 nt
Filed under: Rattus norvegicus (Norway rat)
Lineage: Eukaryota; Metazoa; Chordata; Mammalia; Rodentia; Muridae
Rfam family: tRNA
About the family: Transfer RNA (tRNA) molecules are approximately 80 nucleotides in length. Their secondary structure includes four short double-helical elements and three loops (D, anti-codon, and T loops).
Source: Rfam by way of RNAcentral